ACAGCGCCGACAGCUCGUCUCCCCCAACCGCCACUCCAUGAAAAGGUGCAUUGCACCCUGAGUCACGCCACUGCUAUUAUCCGAUGACACCCUCGAUCAGAAACCCAGGGCUUGAAGAAUGUAUCUAUAUGACAAUGUUUUUUUUUUAUCAUCCAUACACGUCCAUGCAUACAAUACUUGCUGCAUGUAGAUAUAUCCAUGCCCUGGGAAGAAUAUAACAAGGGAGGAAAAUAGCGUGAGGAGGAAGCAGAAGCAGAAGCAGAAGCAUCGAAGAAGCAAAGGAAGGGCAAAACAAGCGACUGCAGAUCGCAUCUUCCAGUCCAGCCCAGCCCCAGCCCAGUACCCUACUCUGCUCUCCAUACACAGCAAAUAUCAAAGAGGGCUACAUACGUACUGUAUGUACAUUAGCCAUCAUUACACAAC
This 423-nucleotide small RNA is filed under the name Histoplasma ohiense. Its description in RNAcentral is "hypothetical lncRNA". The record is from RNAcentral. Lineage: Eukaryota; Fungi; Ascomycota; Eurotiomycetes; Onygenales; Ajellomycetaceae.